Molecule: ribosomal RNA, 734 nt
Filed under: uncultured bacterium
Lineage: Bacteria
Description: bacterial SSU rRNA
Rfam family: Bacterial small subunit ribosomal RNA
Source: RNAcentral
UCGAGCGAGCACUUUGCUUAGAUUCUUCGGAUGAAGAGGAUUGUGACUGAGCGGCGGACGGGUGAGUAACGCGUGGGUAACCUGCCUCAUACAGGGGGAUAACAGUUAGAAAUGACUGCUAAUACCGCAUAAGACCACAGCACCGCAUGGUGCGGGGGUAAAAACUCCGGUGGUAUGAGAUGGACCCGCGUCUGAUUAGCUAGUUGGUAAGGUAACGGCUUACCAAGGCGACGAUCAGUAGCCGACCUGAGAGGGUGACCGGCCACAUUGGGACUGAGACACGGCCCAAACUCCUACGGGAGGCAGCAGUGGGGAAUAUUGCACAAUGGGGGAAACCCUGAUGCAGCGACGCCGCGUGAGCGAAGAAGUAUUUCGGUAUGUAAAGCUCUAUCAGCAGGGAAGAAAAUGACGGUACCUGACUAAGAAGCACCGGCUAAAUACGUGCCAGCAGCCGCGGUAAUACGUAUGGUGCAAGCGUUAUCCGGAUUUACUGGGUGUAAAGGGAGCGUAGACGGAUGGGCAAGUCUGAUGUGAAAACCCGGGGCUCAACCCCGGGACUGCAUUGGAAACUGUUCAUCUAGAGUGCUGGAGAGGUAAGUGGAAUUCCUAGUGUAGCGGUGAAAUGCGUAGAUAUUAGGAGGAACACCAGUGGCGAAGGCGGCUUACUGGACAGUAACUGACGUUGAGGCUCGAAAGCGUGGGGAGCAAACAGGAUUAGAUACCCUGGUAGUCCA